RNAcentral lists this ribosomal RNA (324 nucleotides) under Salmonella enterica. RNAcentral describes it as "partial 16S ribosomal RNA". It matches the Rfam family "Bacterial small subunit ribosomal RNA", at positions 108 to 435 of the family's 1533-position model. RNAcentral also lists the same sequence under 6 other names. Lineage: Bacteria; Pseudomonadati; Pseudomonadota; Gammaproteobacteria; Enterobacterales; Enterobacteriaceae. The record is from RNAcentral.
GAGUAAUGUCUGGGAAACUGCCUGAUGGAGGGGGAUAACUACUGGAAACGGUGGCUAAUACCGCAUAACGUCGCAAGACCAAAGAGGGGGACCUUCGGGCCUCUUGCCAUCAGAUGUGCCCAGAUGGGAUUAGCUAGUUGGUGAGGUAACGGCUCACCAAGGCGACGAUCCCUAGCUGGUCUGAGAGGAUGACCAGCCACACUGGAACUGAGACACGGUCCAGACUCCUACGGGAGGCAGCAGUGGGGAAUAUUGCACAAUGGGCGCAAGCCUGAUGCAGCCAUGCCGCGUGUAUGAAGAAGGCCUUCGGGUUGUAAAGUACUU